RNAcentral lists this ribosomal RNA (146 nucleotides) under Pelobates cultripes (western spadefoot toad). RNAcentral's name for it is "SSU_rRNA_eukarya". The record is from RNAcentral. Lineage: Eukaryota; Metazoa; Chordata; Amphibia; Anura; Pelobatidae.
AUAACAACACAGGACUCUUUCGAGGCCCUGUAAUUGUAAUAAGUCCACUUGAAAUCCUUUAACUCUGAUCAAUUGGAGGGCAAGUCCGGUGCAGAGCGACUGACCCGUGCGUGGUGCAGCUGAAACUCCACUAUCUCCUGCUCGCA